GCAUCAAGAUGUCGGUCGUGCUUCGGUACGUACUGGUAUCAUUGGUUUCUCCUUUCUGACGAACCAUGAUGUCAUUAAUUUGGUGUUAUGGGGAGUUAGGACUGUUACUUUGAAAAAAUUAGAGUGUUUAAAGCAGGCUUUAGCUUGAAUACAUUAGCAUGGAAUAAUGAAAUAGGACGUUCGAACCUAUUUUGUUGGUUUCUAGGACCGAGGUA
RNAcentral lists this ribosomal RNA (215 nucleotides) under Campeiostachys nutans. RNAcentral describes it as "Elymus nutans partial small subunit ribosomal RNA". The stretch from base 37 to 215 matches the Rfam family "Eukaryotic small subunit ribosomal RNA", at positions 684 to 864 of the family's 1831-position model. Lineage: Eukaryota; Viridiplantae; Streptophyta; Magnoliopsida; Poales; Poaceae. The record is from RNAcentral.